This 512-nucleotide ribosomal RNA is filed under the name uncultured Methanolinea sp. RNAcentral's name for it is "bacterial SSU rRNA". It matches the Rfam family "Archaeal small subunit ribosomal RNA", at positions 5 to 525 of the family's 1478-position model. Lineage: Archaea; Methanobacteriati; Methanobacteriota; Methanomicrobia; Methanomicrobiales; Methanoregulaceae. The record is from RNAcentral.
CGGUUGAUCCUGCCGGAGGCCACUGCUAUCGGGGUUCGAUUAAGCCAUGCGAGUCGAGAGGUGCAAGACCUCGGCGCACUGCUCAGUAACACGUGGAUAACCUACCCUCAGGAGGGGGAUAACCCCGGGAAACUGGGGAUAAUACCCCAUAGUUCAGGGAUGCUGGAAUGCCCCCUGAUCCAAAGGUCCGCCGCCUGAGGAUGGGUCUGCGGCCGAUUAGGUAGUUGUUGGGGUAAAGGCCCAACAAGCCUUUGAUCGGUACGGGUUGUGAGAGCAAGAGCCCGGAGAUGGAUUCUGAGACACAAAUCCAGGCCCUACGGGGCGCAGCAGGCGCGAAAACUUUACAAUGCGAGAAAUCGUGAUAAGGGAACCCCGAGUGCCCGUAAAUUCGGGCUGUCCGCCAGCGUAAAAAACUGGUGAAGAAAGGGCCGGGCAAGACCGGUGCCAGCCGCCGCGGUAAUACCGGCGGCUCGAGUGGUGGCCACUAUUACUGGGCUUAAAGCGUCCGUAGC